ACUUCGACCGCUGUGUUGUUCGGAUGGAGAAUUUAUUCAUAUUUAAUUUUGAAUAUAAUUUAAAGUUGCACAUAUAUUUUAUUAAUUUGUAUGUGUUUUAUUCAUAUUAUUUAUACUAUGUAUAUUUAUUCGCGAGUGUAACAAUUUUGCGUUCUAUUUAUGAGCGUUGGUACAUUUCAUCUCUAUCAUGAAUGAAUAGGAAGCUGUUACUACAAAAAAGAUAAGUAGCUGAUUAUUGAGACUAUUUUCUGCAAAAAAAAAAUUUCAAUAUGGAUACCAUAAUGAUAUUCUAUAUAAAGUUUUAUAAAGAAGAGGUGGUCGCCAUUAGUCCGAGCUUUCCACGGGAACGAAGCAGCUUCGUUUCUUCGCCGGGAUAAUUAUUGAAUGUAGCAUGGAGAAGACUUUGGAGAAGAGAGACCUCAUAACUUAUAUCUUAAUGAGCUUACGCUUGCGAUGUUUUAAUGAAUAUUAAUGAACUCGAAAAUUUUUCUCAUCCCAAAGAGAAAAGUCUGGAUCCGUCCGAAGUUUUUUCACCGAGAAUAAUUGGUCCUAUUCUUGGCCAGAAAGAUUUAUAAAUGGAAAAAAAGAAGAGAGCGAAACAAGCAUCUUUUUCAAUUUAUAAUCACUCUUUUGUUACACGAUAUCGACGAUGUUUACGAUAUCGUCUUUUUCCUUA
Apis dorsata (giant honeybee) is the source of this 676-nucleotide long non-coding RNA. RefSeq lists it as uncharacterized. The record is from RefSeq and is a predicted model, not a curated record. Lineage: Eukaryota; Metazoa; Arthropoda; Insecta; Hymenoptera; Apidae. The transcript is spliced from 3 exons.